GCCUAACACAUGCAAGUCGAGCGGAUGAAGGGAGCUUGCUCCUGGAUUCAGCGGCGGACGGGUGAGUAAUGCCUAGGAAUCUGCCUGGUAAUGGGGGAUAACGUUCCGAAAGGAACGCUAAUACCGCGUACGUCCUACGGGAGAAAGCAGGGGACCUUCGGGCCUUGCGCUAUCAGAUGAGCCUAGGUCGGAUUAGCUAGUUGGUGAGGUAAUGGCUCACCAAGGCGACGAUCCGUAACUGGUCUGAGAGGAUGAUCAGUCACACUGGAACUGAGACACGGUCCAGACUCCUACGGGAGGCAGCAGUGGGGAAUAUUGGACAAUGGGCGAAAGCCUGAUCCAGCCAUGCCGCGUGUGUGAAGAAGGUCUUCGGAUUGUAAAGCACUUUAAGUUGGGAGGAAGGGCUGUAGGCUAAUAUCCUGCGGUUUUGACGUUACCAACAGAAUAAGCACCGGCUAACUUCGUGCCAGCAGCCGCGGUAAUACGAAGGGUGCAAGCGUUAAUCGGAAUUACUGGGCGUAAAGCGCGCGUAGGUGGUUCGUUAAGUUGGAUGUGAAAGCCCCGGGCUCAACCUGGGAACUGCAUCCAAAACUGGCGAGCUAGAGUACGGUAGAGGGUAGUGGAAUUUCCUGUGUAGCGGUGAAAUGCGUAGAUAUAGGAAGGAACACCAGUGGCGAAGGCGACUACCUGGACUGAUACUGACACUGAGGUGCGAAAGCGUGGGGAGCAAACAGGAUUAGAUACCCUGGUAGU
RNAcentral lists this ribosomal RNA (753 nucleotides) under bacterium Sed8. RNAcentral's name for it is "bacterial SSU rRNA". It matches the Rfam family "Bacterial small subunit ribosomal RNA", at positions 46 to 794 of the family's 1533-position model. The record is from RNAcentral.